RNAcentral lists this ribosomal RNA (317 nucleotides) under uncultured Glomeromycotina. Its description in RNAcentral is "SSU rRNA". It matches the Rfam family "Eukaryotic small subunit ribosomal RNA", at positions 569 to 888 of the family's 1831-position model. Lineage: Eukaryota; Fungi; Glomeromycota. The record is from RNAcentral.
AGCAGCCGCGGUAAUUCCAGCUCCAAUAGCGUAUAUUAAAGUUGUUGCAGUUAAAAAGCUCGUAGUUGAACUUCGGGGUCUACCCAUUGGUCAGGCUUAAUUGUCUGCACUGGUGAGAUGGAUCUCUACCUUCUGAGGAACUUUCAUGCCAUUUAUUUGGUGUGGUUGGAAAUCAGGACUGUUACUUUGAAAAAAUUAGAGUGUUUAAAGCUAGACUAUCGUCUGAAUACAUUAGCAUGGAAUAAUGAAAUAGGACGGACUGAUUCUAUUUCGUUGGUUCUAGGAUCACCGUAAUGAUUAAUAGGGAUAGUUGGGGG